ACGCCACGAAAUAAGACUUGAAAUAUGGGGGAAAAGAAUACAACAUAAUAUGGGGGAAAAGAAUACAACAAAAAUGUACCCAAUGUAGUCCUACAAAGUGCGGGUUGGGGAGGGUAGAGUGUACAUUGACAUUUCCCCUACCUCAAAGGUGGAGAGAUUGUUUCCAAAAGACCUUCCGACUCAAGGAAAAAAGAGAUGGGGGGAAAGAAUAAUCAAUUGAAAUCUGAAACAUACAAAUAUGAAGAUAAUUACACUAGAAAUAACACAACUUCUUC
RNAcentral lists this long non-coding RNA (275 nucleotides) under Solanum tuberosum (potato). RNAcentral's name for it is "long non-coding RNA (STUB_LNC004325)". The record is from RNAcentral. Lineage: Eukaryota; Viridiplantae; Streptophyta; Magnoliopsida; Solanales; Solanaceae.